RNAcentral lists this long non-coding RNA (710 nucleotides) under Bos indicus x Bos taurus (hybrid cattle). RNAcentral describes it as "lncRNA (ENSBIXG00000023831.1)". Lineage: Eukaryota; Metazoa; Chordata; Mammalia; Artiodactyla; Bovidae. The record is from RNAcentral.
AGCGAGAUAACCUGACCCCAAAAUCCUUCCCUCUUCUCCUCUGCAAACUGACCCCUGACUUUGUGCUGGGCAACCCCAGGUGAUAACUAAUGACCAGAUUAAUUAGUCCUGAGAACGCUGAUGCAGCCACGUGCCUCUUCUCCCCAGUGAUGGCGAGAAUCCGCUGGGGAUUCUGGGAAAGUUUUCUUUUUCCUGAUAAAAGGAGCAGGAGAGGCUAGUGCCACCUCUCUCCCAUGCUUCCUGUCUUGAGAUUCCCGGACAUCCCAGGUGAUCCUAGGACCAGGAGGCAGAAGCCAAAGAUGCCCCUCUCUGCAGGUGAGGACACGGUGGCCCAGCCUUGACUUGUCCGUCUUAGCGCCCUGAAGGGAAGCUCCGGGUACUGCAGUUUCCCACGGGACUCCCAGCACUGCCCGCAGUGUCCGGCUCCAGGAGGCACUCGGUGCGUCCUCUGUCCACAGAGUGAAGUGUGGUGGAGGUGGAAUGCGGCAUGGACUCUCUAACACCGGCACCCCUGCCGUUCGCCAUUUGCUGUAGCUUUCUCCCAGAACUGCCUCAGGCUUCCUGUUGCAGCAUCAAACAGGGAUGGAAGAUGCAGCUCGCAUUAGCAGUGGGAGCCUCUAAAGCAGCUUAAGUCCCUGGAGGUGCCUGGCACACAGAAACCUGCUCUGAGCCGGGAGCACAACGAGGGGCCAGGGAGGGGCUCGCAGCGG